GAAAAUGAUGAAAUUUGCACUGGGCUCUGAGCAGUUUUAUUGCUGUAAUUGAUUGAAAUGCGCCCUAGAAAGCAUAUCUGAUUC
Molecule: small nucleolar RNA, 84 nt
Organism: Impatiens glandulifera
Lineage: Eukaryota; Viridiplantae; Streptophyta; Magnoliopsida; Ericales; Balsaminaceae
Source: RefSeq, a predicted model, not a curated record